RNAcentral lists this ribosomal RNA (499 nucleotides) under uncultured Glomus. RNAcentral's name for it is "SSU rRNA". It matches the Rfam family "Eukaryotic small subunit ribosomal RNA", at positions 591 to 1092 of the family's 1831-position model. The record is from RNAcentral. Lineage: Eukaryota; Fungi; Glomeromycota; Glomeromycetes; Glomerales; Glomeraceae.
CCAAUAGCGUAUAUUUAAGUUGUUGCAGUUAAAAAGCUCGUAGUUGAAUUUCGGGAUCAAUAUAUUGGUCAUGCUUAGGUAUGUACUGGUAUUAUUGAUUUCUCCCUUCUGAAGAACCAUGAUGUCAUUAAUUUGAUGUCGUGGGGAAUCAGGACUGUUACUUUGAAAAAAUUAGAGUGUUUAAAGCAGGCUUUCGCUUGAAUACAUUAGCAUGGAAUAAUGAAAUAGGACGUUUGAUUCUAUUUUGUUGGUUUCUAGGAUCGACGUAAUGAUUAAUAGGGAUAGUUGGGGGCAUUAGUAUUCAAUUGUCAGAGGUGAAAUUCUUGGAUUUAUUGAAGACUAACUACUGCGAAAGCAUUUGCCAAGGAUGUUUUCAUUAAUCAAGAACGAAAGUUAGGGGAUCGAAGACGAUCAGAUACCGUCGUAGUCUUAACCAUAAACUAUGCCGACUAGGGAUCGGAUGAUGUUAAUUUUUUAAUGACUCAUUCGGCGCCUUACG